This 65-nucleotide transfer RNA is filed under the name Agama armata. RNAcentral's name for it is "tRNA-His". The record is from RNAcentral. Lineage: Eukaryota; Metazoa; Chordata; Lepidosauria; Squamata; Agamidae.
CCAAGAAAGUUACUACUAACACUUAGGUCGUGACCCUAAAAACAAGAAUUUAUUUCUUCCUGGCU